CAGCGAUGUAUCGAUGCUUUUUUUCGAACAUCGAUGUUAUCACUAAGAGAUACACACGCAAAGCAAGUGUUUGAUACAGGUAAAACAUAUUAGGGCGGUUCCUCUCGGCACAAUGGACAGGUUUCUGCACAUAACAAACCACGUGUCUGCUGCUUCGUCGUCUGCUCCAACGUCUGCUGCCGGCCGCCGAGAAAACACACCCCUCUGAUUUGUACGGAUUUAUGGCCGAAAAAGUCAAAAAUAAGCCAAGAACUUGGAGAUCCGAUGCAAUAAUCGAAAUGCGGCAAUAUUUCGAGCAACAGAAUGCGCAUCAGAAAAUAGAUCCGCUCGAAUACUGGAGGGUUAAUGAAGUUCAAUUCAGCAAUCUUGCGCAGUGCGCGUUAAAAUAUUUAUGUAUACCUGCGACAUCUACUGACUCGGAAAGGACUUUCAGCAAGGCAGGACAAAUCGCGGACGAAAAGAGAUCUCGACUUAAACCUAAAACUUUGAACAUGCUGUUGUUUUUACAGAAAAACCAGUGGAUUAUUAGUUAAGAUAUAGAUAUCGAUUAGAUAAGUAAGAUAAGUAAGAACUGAACUGAACUGAACUGAACUGAACUGAAGUGAACUGAACUGAAAUAAUGUGAUUCCAUUUUUCUUUAUGAUUUCGUUAAAAUAUGUAUUAAGAUUAUGCUUUUUUAUUUGUUUCUGAAAAUAUUGUUGUUGUUUUGUUUGAAUAAAUAUAAGUUUAUAAUAAGUUUCAUAAAAA
This is a long non-coding RNA of Drosophila subpulchrella, 747 nucleotides long. RefSeq lists it as uncharacterized. The transcript has 4 exons. Lineage: Eukaryota; Metazoa; Arthropoda; Insecta; Diptera; Drosophilidae. The record is from RefSeq and is a predicted model, not a curated record.